Molecule: long non-coding RNA, 178 nt
Organism: Pistacia vera
Lineage: Eukaryota; Viridiplantae; Streptophyta; Magnoliopsida; Sapindales; Anacardiaceae
Exons: 3
Source: RefSeq, a predicted model, not a curated record
CACUUUUUGGAUUUUCUCUUCUCUUCAACAUUUUAUUCGUUGGCGCAUUGACUUAUUUGAGUUCUUUUGGUGAGUCAAAAGCAACUGUCAUAGAGGAUAAUGGAGACAAGAAGAAUAAGCAAGCCUCUGAGGAACAUGGAGUAGAAGGUAUUAACUUGGCAAUGAGAAGUUCAUCAGA